Long non-coding RNA from Mercurialis annua (annual mercury), 430 nucleotides. RefSeq lists it as uncharacterized. NCBI's taxonomy places the organism in Eukaryota, Viridiplantae, Streptophyta, Magnoliopsida, Malpighiales, Euphorbiaceae. The record is from RefSeq and is a predicted model, not a curated record. The transcript has 3 exons.
AAUCCCGUAGCUCCUCAUCCCAAAACCUUCCAAACUUCAAUUCACCAUAUCUUUUUUGUUUCUUAACGAAAUUGAGUGAUUCUUGCGGCCACGGAACGAGGAAAGGAUCCUCUACUAGAUUAUGGCUUCAAUUUGAGGUGUUUGUGAGCUCGAAUCAUGGAUUUUGAUGGUGAAUUGGAGCAUGAGAUCAUUCGGUUUUGAGGAAUCAUCAAGGUCCGAUAAGGCGACCUACUAGCAGACAGGAGCUCAGGGAGCUUACGCUAUAAUAAGCAAAGAUUUUGGAUAAGCAAGUAGUGAGUAUAUUUUACUAACUCGCAUUAUCGUAAUUAAAUAUAUGUUAAUAUACUAUAUGAAUAGUACUUAAACGCAUCGCAAAUGUGUAUUGUUUGGAUUGUUUCGGAUUGGAUCGGUUUUUUUGUAUAUGAAUUGA